Callithrix jacchus (white-tufted-ear marmoset) is the source of this 1678-nucleotide long non-coding RNA. RefSeq lists it as uncharacterized. Lineage: Eukaryota; Metazoa; Chordata; Mammalia; Primates; Cebidae. The record is from RefSeq and is a predicted model, not a curated record.
UUCAAGCUGCAUGCAGGAAGCACUCCAGCAGGGACUCUGGCCUUGCAGGAGUCACUAUUUUCCCCUUAUCUUCCUUUUCACCGAGCAAAACCUGCUUUAUUCGUUCUUCAAACCAUUUGUGAGUCUAAAUUGUCAUGGCCAUGGGACGGACAAGGACUCUGUCUUUAACCCUGUCUUUAGCUGAACCAAGGAAAAUGCCUGCAACAUUUUUGGCACCCAAAUGGCGCUCAAGAAGUGAGAUGGAGUCUCACUCUGUUGCCCAAAGUUGUCUCAAACUCUUGGAUUCAAGUCAUGCUCCUGUGUUGGCUUCCCAGAGUGUUGGGAUUAGAGGUGUGAGCCACUGUACCCAGCUCGUCUAACAACACCUAUGAUAUACACCAGGGCUUGACCAACUCCUUCUGUAAAGGUCCAGAUAGUAAGUAUUUUGGGCUUUGAGUAUCAUAUAGUGUCCAUGUCAUGUUGCAGUGUGAGAGCAGCCGUAGACAGUGCAUGAACAAAUGAGUGCAAUUUUAUUUUGUUAUAUUUACUUAUGCAAUUAAAUUUUUAUAUAAUUUUUACACAUUACAAAAUAUUCUUUUAAUUUUUCGACUGUUUAAAAUUGUAGAAACUAAUUUUAGCUCACUGGCUGUAUGAAAUCCGGUGGCAAGCCAUAUUUGACCUCUAAGCAGUAGUUGGCAGAGUCCUGUAUAUAUUCAUGUAACUGUAUGCAUGUUAAAAUACUUAGGAACUUGUGAAUUCUGCAGAAAAAAUAUUUUUUAUUCAAUUGGAAAUGUCAAGAACACAUCUGUUACAGAAUUAUCUAAGCCAACUUGGCAGUGCACAAUGAAUAGAUUUUUAUUGGUAGAAGGAAGAGCUAUUAUUAUUUGGAUGUACAUGAGGGCUAUAAGUCUCUCUCAAUUCCACCUUCAUAUCCAGUAGGUGAGAUAUAGGGCAAGCAAGUCUGACACCAGAUUCUAUGUGUGUGUAAACAUUAGCAACUGGCACAAACAGAGUUAUAGCACCUUUUCUUGAAGUCUCACUCUUAGGCACUCCCAAUACCUUGCAUAAAAUGUACACUAGAGGAAGAUAACUUUCUGCAGUCAGGAUUCAGAUAACCUAGAAACUGGGUGACAGAAUUCUCUGUUAAUGGUAAAACCCAGGACAUAGGAAGGUCCUAGGCUAAGAAUUCCAUUCAAAGGGAGUAAGCUGCCGGGGGACCAGAUUUAUACAAAUGUAAUUGCCAAGGUACUCAUCUGAUCUUUCUAGCAAUGUCUGUCUUGAAGCUUUAUAAAGUGGAAAAGAGACAGCUGAUGAAAAUAACAAGCAAAACAAUUAUUGCCAAAUUCCCCAAAUCACAGUAAAACUGACGCUGUGAUGAAAUUGUGGGUGAUUAUUUUUCCCUUUCUGUAAUGUUUUUCCCCCUAUACUAUAAUAUUCAUUAGAAUGUUACCAGACUGUGAUCCUUCUUAGUUCUUCUUUCUCUACAGCCACAUCUUUAUAAUUUUCUUUACAUUUAAAAAUCAUGGAAUAUGUAAAAUAUAUCCAGGAAUAGAAUGGAACUCAUGGCCAAUCUUGUUUCAGCUAUAUCUCUACUUGCUUUCUCCAACCCCAAAUUAUUUUCAAGGAAUCCUAUAUGUUUUAUCUACAAAUAAUGUAAUUUGUAUUUCUAGGCGAUAUGGACUUAUUUUAAAAAACUAGA